UACAGAGGUCUCAAGCGUUGUUCGGAUUCAUUGGGCGUAAAGGGCGCGUAGGCUGCGGGGCAAGUCGGGUGUGAAAUCUCAGAGCUCAACUCUGAAACUGCACUCGAUACUGCUUUGCUCGAGGACUGGAGAGGAGAUUGGAAUUCACGGUGUAGCAGUGAAAUGCGUAGAUAUCGGGAGGAAGACCAGUGGCGAAGGCGGAUCUCUGGACAGUUCCUGACGCUGAGGCGCGAAGGCCAGGGGAGCAAACGGG
This 253-nucleotide ribosomal RNA is filed under the name uncultured bacterium. Its description in RNAcentral is "partial 16S ribosomal RNA". It matches the Rfam family "Bacterial small subunit ribosomal RNA", at positions 524 to 776 of the family's 1533-position model. The record is from RNAcentral.